GUGCAGCCAACCAUGCAGUGCGCAGUCUGCGCACUGAGCAUCCAGGAGCUUGGAACAGGUGAAAGAUGUCGCAAAAAAGGACUUACCCUUCAGGGGCAGAAAAAAGAAAAAGGAAGAAAGAUAAAAACGACAAGAUAAAGGUAUGUCUUAGUAAUGUAACAUUUGUUGAUAUUUUGUUCCAAAUACGUUAGCCUAUAAUAGCAAAUUUGCUAGCUAACAUUAGUUCAAAACGUCUGACUAGGUUAGAUAGCUUACUAUUCAAGCUAACGUUUUUGUGUUUGUGUAAUACUUUGAAUAAGUUGAUUUUCAGUGUAUAUACAUUAUUCUGGGUCGCUCUUUGGCAUCAAAACAACGUUUUUGAUAACAGUUUGAUAGCAAAUGUUUAAUAACUAACGUUAAUUACAAACGCGGUGACAUUUGCUAGCAAUAUGGUUUUGCAUUAAUUAAUUAAUUUAGUUAACUAACUAGUUUGAGGUAUGUUGUUUGCAAUUGUUUGCUGCAGAGCACAGUAAAUUAUGUGAGUAAAUAAACAUAUUCCUUUUACAUCAUCUCCCUAAUAUGCUCAUACGUUAUAUGAAACUUCCCCAGGAGGACUGUUAAAAUAUUUUGGAGGCACUGACUCAGCCCAGGGGCAAUCCACCUCCUCAGGAGCAGCCAAGGCUGAUGAAUGAAGUGAUCAAAAACUGUCACCAUAUAUAUUUAAUUUCUAGUCAAAUUAUCUCAUUAAGAUAUACUAAUAUAAGAUAUAAUCAUAUGACAAGGGAUAUGUUUUUCAUCUUAGGUCCAUCUCUAUCCUCUGCUCCCACUGUGCCCACUGUCCUCUCUGCAACCUCAGCUGUACCUGGUCCAUCUCUAUUCUCUGUGCCCACUGUCCCUUUUGUGUCUUCUGCAACCUCAGCUGUACCUGGUCCUUCAUCUUUGGUCAUCGAGAUUGAUUUGUCGUCAUCAGCAUCCAGUUUGGAGCAGGGAUCAGCAGCUCUGCCAGUUGACCCAGCUGAGUGUCCCUCUUUCCUGUCAGACUCAGAAAGGACUGAACAGGUAUUAAGAGGGCCACUGCCUAUAGAGGACACAUUCAUAUUCCCAAAAAGACACGAUGGCCGAAGCCCAUUUUACCAAAGAUUUUGCACAUUUUUACAUAGUUUUCAGACCCAAUUCAUCUUAAUAUUUUAUUUAUAAACCAUUUGUCUUACCUUGUACCUAGUAUUUGUCUGCUUUUUAAAAAAUUAUUUCAUUUAAUACUGUCUGUUUCCGUACAUUUGGUGUUACAGUUUAUUUUAAAAAAUAAUAAUAAAGCAGAUUGUGUUUGCAGUAAACGAUUAGUUUAUUUUGUUACUUUUAAUUGGCCUAGAUCAGUGGUUCCCAACCCCCGGUCCGCAGACCGGUACCGGUCCGUGGAGCUGUUCCUACU
This 1408-nucleotide long non-coding RNA is filed under the name Sparus aurata (gilthead seabream). RNAcentral describes it as "lncRNA (ENSSAUG00010010332.1)". The record is from RNAcentral. Lineage: Eukaryota; Metazoa; Chordata; Actinopteri; Spariformes; Sparidae.